GUGGGGAAUAUUGGACAAUGGGCGAAAGCCUGAUCCAGCCAUGCCGCGUGUGUGAAGAAGGUCUUCGGAUUGUAAAGCACUUUAAGUUGGGAGGAAGGGCAGUAAGUUAAUACCUUGCUGUUUUGACGUUACCGACAGAAUAAGCACCGGCUAACUUCGUGCCAGCAGCCGCGGUAAUACGAAGGGUGCAAGCGUUAAUCGGAAUUACUGGGCGUAAAGCGCGCAUAGGUGGUUUUGUAAGUUGGAGGUGAAAUCCCCGGGCUCAACCUGGGAACUGCCUCCAAAACUGCAUGACUAGAGUACGGUAGAGGGUAGUGGAAUUUCCUGUGUAGCGGUGAAAUGCGUAGAUAUAGGAAGGAACACCAGUGGCGAAGGCGACUACCUGGACUGAUACUGACACUGAGGUGCGAAAGCGUGGGGAGCAAACAGGAUUAGAUACCCGGGUAGUCC
Molecule: ribosomal RNA, 450 nt
Filed under: uncultured bacterium
Lineage: Bacteria
Description: partial 16S ribosomal RNA
Rfam family: Bacterial small subunit ribosomal RNA
Source: RNAcentral